GAGUAGGUGCUAACUGAUAAUCUUGGAACGUGAAACAUCUAAGCUCCGGGUCAUAGAACUGAAGAAGUGUCUGCAACGGCACCGGGUCAACUACUGUCUUCAACACUGUCAGGAUAUCCCCAUACUGAUUCACGAACCCCCACAGACGAUCACUGGUCACAAGACUGCCUAACUCAAUCAGAGGCGUCAAAGGCUCCCGGUGAAAAACGUAGAUACAAGUCUUCCGCUUCGGCUCUGGGACUGUUGCCAUCUCUAUCGGCGAAUCAAACUCUAGAAUGUACCUGAGAAAUGAUAUGCAUGCGGAGGUUAGUUUUUUUUCUUUCUCUUUUUUUUUCUUUUUUUUUUCCUUUUUUUUUUUGCGUAUCUUUUUGAAAAUAAAUAUGCUAUGAUGCACAUGAUGCAGACACAACUGGCUGGCGGUGCAUCUCUGAUCACAAAGUCGAAGCUUCGAUCUAAACUCAGAACCCAAAUCCAACUUGAAAACCCAAGGUCAACUGAAUAUACUGUUGUCUGAACCCAAAGUCACCAACAGAACCAUAAGUCACCAACAGUACCUGUAAUGAUGAACCCUUCCC
RNAcentral lists this long non-coding RNA (575 nucleotides) under Lathyrus oleraceus (garden pea). RNAcentral's name for it is "Pisum sativum (pea) long non-coding RNA (PSAT_LNC037811)". The record is from RNAcentral. Lineage: Eukaryota; Viridiplantae; Streptophyta; Magnoliopsida; Fabales; Fabaceae.